RNAcentral lists this signal recognition particle RNA (301 nucleotides) under Phascolarctos cinereus (koala). Its description in RNAcentral is "Metazoan signal recognition particle RNA (ENSPCIG00000012065.2)". It matches the Rfam family "Metazoan signal recognition particle RNA". From Rfam's summary of the family: The signal recognition particle (SRP) is a universally conserved ribonucleoprotein. It is involved in the co-translational targeting of proteins to membranes. The record is from RNAcentral. Lineage: Eukaryota; Metazoa; Chordata; Mammalia; Diprotodontia; Phascolarctidae.
ACUGAGUAUGGUGGUAUACACCAUAAUCCCUGCUACAGGGGAGGCUGAAAAUGAUGGAUCUCUUGAGCUCAGGAGUUCUGAGCUGCAGUAGAGCUAACAUCAAUCAGAUAACUGCACUAAGUCUGGCACUAAUAUGAUGAACCCCUGGCAGCAGGAGGCCAUGAGUCUGCCUAAAGAAGGAAAAACUGACCCAGGUCAGUAAUGGAGCAGGUCAAAGCUUCUUUGCCAAUCAGUAGUGGGAUUGGGCCCAUUGGUGACUGCUGCAUUUUUAGCCUAGUCAAGCUAGGAAGAUGUCAUCUCA